GUUCAAGAUGUAUCUUUAUCAUAUUCAUUUGUACCUUACGAAGGAGUUGUACAAAUUACCACUGGUAGUUGGACCAAGAAUGUUUGUUGCCAAAGUUUAAAUAGCCAGGCCCAGUAUAUUGUUUGUCGUCACCUAGGAUACGACGCGGAAAGCUAUCUUGUUAAUGUGUCCGCUCCAACAGAUGCCAAAGAUGAAUCAUUUUCUGGAAAUAUAGACUGUAAUGGUGGAGAGAAGUACUUAUCCCAGUGUUCAAUUACUGCUUCGGCCAACGAAAGUUGUUCUGGGUUAUCAUACAUACGAUGUAAGUGCAUUGGUAAGAUAAAACGAAUAGGAUGCAGAUGGCAAAGAAAGG
This is a non-coding RNA of Paramuricea clavata, 352 nucleotides long. The record is from the annotation of a GenBank genome assembly. NCBI's taxonomy places the organism in Eukaryota, Metazoa, Cnidaria, Anthozoa, Malacalcyonacea, Plexauridae.